AGAGUUUGAUCAUGGCUCAGGAUGAACGCUAGCGGCAGGCUUGAUACAUGCAAGUCGAACGGUAAGUUGAAUAGCAAUAUUUGACCUAGAGUGACGUACGGGUGCGUAACACGUAUGCAACCUACCCAAAACUGGAGGAUAGCUCGGGGAAACUCGAAUUAACCCUCCAUAAGAUCAUAGAGUAGCAUUACUUAGUGAUUAAAACUCCGGUGGUUUUGGAUGGGCAUGCGUCUGAUUAGUUAGUUGGCGGGGUAACGGCCCACCAAGACGAUGAUCAGUAGGGGAACUGAGAGGUUGAUCCCCCACACUGGCACUGAGAUACGGGCCAGACUCCUACGGGAGGCAGCAGUAGGGAAUAUUGGUCAAUGGAUGCAAGUCUGAACCAGCCAUGCCGCGUGCAGGAAGAAGGCGUUAUGCGUUGUAAACUGCUUUUGCCAGGGGAUAAAAUUUCCUUGCGAGGAACAUUGAAGGUACCUGGUGAAUAAGCCACGGCUAACUACGUGCCAGCAGCCGCGGUAAUACGUAGGUGGCAAGCGCUGUCCGGAUUUAUUGGGUUUAAAGGGUGCGUAGGCGGCCCUGUAAGUCAGUGGUGAAAUACUCCAGCUUAACUGGAGGGGUGCCAUUGAUACUGCAGGGCUUGAGUGGAGUCGAAGUAGGCGGAAUUGACGGUGUAGCGGUGAAAUGCUUAGAUAUCGUCAAGAACACCGAUAGUGAAGACAGUUUACUAGGCUUCUACUGACGCUGAGGCACGAAAGUGUGGGGAUCAAACAGGAUUAGAUACCCUGGUAGUCCACACUGUAAACGUUGAUUACUCGCUGUUGGCGAUACACAGCCAGCGGCCAAGCGCAAGCGAUAAGUAAUCCACCUGGGGAGUACGCCGGCAACGGUGAAACUUAAAUGAAUUGACGG
This 909-nucleotide ribosomal RNA is filed under the name uncultured bacterium. RNAcentral's name for it is "bacterial SSU rRNA". It matches the Rfam family "Bacterial small subunit ribosomal RNA", at positions 8 to 916 of the family's 1533-position model. The record is from RNAcentral.